RNAcentral lists this long non-coding RNA (387 nucleotides) under Ricinus communis (castor bean). Its description in RNAcentral is "long non-coding RNA (RCOM_LNC000662)". Lineage: Eukaryota; Viridiplantae; Streptophyta; Magnoliopsida; Malpighiales; Euphorbiaceae. The record is from RNAcentral.
UUCAGCAUGAGCACUUCAUUAAGUUCAGGCAGUUUUGGGAGGAGACCAAAGCAUAGCUCCAAGGCUUUAACGACCUACUAUAGCAGCUUUUGGAGGGCCUCGAGAGGCAAGUCACACAGGCAGAUCAGAUGGCAGCUCAACUCCAGCGGAUAGCUGAUUCUGGCAGGGAUGAUGGAGUGUAGCGAUUCUUUGAUGACCUGGGUGAUAUUGAGCUGGACCUCAGCGAUUGCUUCCCAUAUGCGACCUAGCCUCCACCAGUUCUAGCUGCCACUCAAGACCCUCCACUGUCUACAAGCACAGUUCCUACCGAGGAUGCACCGAUGCCCCCACCAGCCUCACCUUCCACUCAAGAUCCCCCACCGCCUUUUAGCACAACCCCCGCUGAGG